GUGGGGAAUAUUGCACAAUGGGGGAAACCCUGAUGCAGCGACGCCGCGUGAGUGAAGAAGUAUUUCGGUACGUAAAGCUCUAUCAGCAAGGAAGAAAAUGACGGUACUUGACUAAGAAGCCCCGGCUAACUACGUGCCAGCAGCCGCGGUAAUACGUAGGGGGCAAGCGUUAUCCGGAUUUACUGGGUGUAAAGGGAGCGUAGACGGUAUGGUAAGUCAGAUGUGAAAGCCCGGGGCUCAACCCCGGGACUGCAUUUGAAACUAUCAGACUAGAGUGCAGGAGAGGUAAGUGGAAUUCCCGGUGUAGCGGUGAAAUGCGUAGAGAUCGGGAGGAACACCAGUGGCGAAGGCGACUUACUGGACUGUAACUGACGCUGAGGCGCGAAAGUGUGGGGAGCAAACAGGAUUAGAUACCCUGGUAGUCC
RNAcentral lists this ribosomal RNA (425 nucleotides) under uncultured bacterium. Its description in RNAcentral is "partial 16S ribosomal RNA". It matches the Rfam family "Bacterial small subunit ribosomal RNA", at positions 354 to 796 of the family's 1533-position model. The record is from RNAcentral.